Molecule: transfer-messenger RNA, 395 nt
Filed under: Bacteroidales
Lineage: Bacteria; Pseudomonadati; Bacteroidota; Bacteroidia
Also listed under: 1 other name
Description: JAADJA01 sp020438105 Standard tmRNA
Rfam family: transfer-messenger RNA
About the family: Bacterial tmRNA, also known as 10Sa RNA or SsrA, is named for its dual tRNA and mRNA-like properties. Its role is to liberate the mRNA from a stalled ribosome.
Source: RNAcentral
GGGGCUGACCGGUUUCGACAGCAAGGACAGUGGAUUUGUAAGCAUGCCGGGCAUUGGAGAUGUGGCUCGUUAAAAACUAUCUUUCAACCAUAAUUGGCGAAAAUAACUACGCUCUCGCAGCCUAAUCGAAGAUUAGUAGAUUGGCUUAUCCCGACACAAGGUGAUGGGACGAGACAUCCUGCAGAAGGAUCUGCCUGAUUCCGACUGAAUACGGGGUGCUCAUAAUUUCGGGCUGGUUUGGCAGAGGCUUUGGCUGCCAGAUAAGAUAAAAAAGCUAAGGUAAAACUGGGGUGCCUGUUCCCGGGUUUUAUUCAAAAAUCAACAACCGGCUAAGCAUGUAGAAAGCACUUUUGCUGCUUGUUUGGACGAGGGUUCGACUCCCUCCAGCUCCACGA